GCGAUACAGGGUGACAGCCCCGUACACAAAAAUGCACAUAUUGUGAGCUCGAUGAGUAGGGCGGGACACGUGGUAUCCUGUCUGAAUAUGGGGGGACCAUCCUCCAAGGCUAAAUACUCCUGACUGACCGAUAGUGAACCAGUACCGUGAGGGAAAGGCGAAAAGAACCCCGGCGAGGGGAGUGAAAAAGAACCUGAAACCGUGUACGUACAAGCAGUGGGAGCACGCUUAGGCGUGUGACUGCGUACCUUUUGUAUAAUGGGUCAGCGACUUAUAUUCUGUAGCAAGGUUAACCGAAUAGGGGAGCCGAAGGGAAACCGAGUCUUAACUGGGCGUUAAGUUGCAGGGUAUAGACCCGAAACCCGGUGAUCUAGCCAUGGGCAGGUUGAAGGUUGGGUAACACUAACUGGAGGACCGAACCGACUAAUGUUGAAAAAUUAGCGGAUGACUUGUGGCUGGGGGUGAAAGGCCAAUCAAACCGGGAGAUAGCUGGUUCUCCCCGAAAGCUAUUUAGGUAGCGCCUCGUGAAUUCAUCUCCGGGGGUAGAGCACUGUUUCGGCAAGGGGGUCAUCCCGACUUACCAACCCGAUGCAAACUGCGAAUACCGGAGAAUGUUAUCACGGGAGACACACGGCGGGUGCUAACGUCCGUCGUGAAGAGGGAAACAACCCAGACCGCCAGCUAAGGUCCCAAAGUCAUGGUUAAGUGGGAAACGAUGUGGGAAGGCCCAGACAGCCAGGAUGUUGGCUUAGAAGCAGCCAUCAUUUAAAGAAAGCGUAAUAGCUCACUGGUCGAGUCGGCCUGCGCGGAAGAUGUAACGGGGCUAAACCAUGCACCGAAGCUGCGGCAGCGACGCUUAUGCGUUGUUGGGUAGGGGAGCGUUCUGUAAGCCUGUGAAGGUGUGCUGUGAGGCAUGCUGGAGGUAUCAGAAGUGCGAAUGCUGACAUAAGUAACGAUAAAGCGGGUGAAAAGCCCGCUCGCCGGAAGACCAAGGGUUCCUGUCCAACGUUAAUCGGGGCAGGGUGAGUCGACCCCUAAGGCGAGGCCGAAAGGCGUAGUCGAUGGGAAACAGGUUAAUAUUCCUGUACUUGGUGUUACUGCGAAGGGGGGACGGAGAAGGCUAUGUUGGCCGGGCGACGGUUGUCCCGGUUUAAGCGUGUAGGCUGGUUUUCCAGGCAAAUCCGGAAAAUCAAGGCUGAGGCGUGAUGACGAGGCACUACGGUGCUGAAGCAACAAAUGCCCUGCUUCCAGGAAAAGCCUCUAAGCAUCAGGUAACAUCAAAUCGUACCCCAAACCGACACAGGUGGUCAGGUAGAGAAUACCAAGGCGCUUGAGAGAACUCGGGUGAAGGAACUAGGCAAAAUGGUGCCGUAACUUCGGGAGAAGGCACGCUGAUAUGUAGGUGAAGUCCCUUGCGGAUGGAGCUGAAAUCAGUCGAAGAUACCAGCUGGCUGCAACUGUUUAUUAAAAACACAGCACUGUGCAAACACGAAAGUGGACGUAUACGGUGUGACGCCUGCCCGGUGCCGGAAGGUUAAUUGAUGGGGUCAGCGCAAGCGAAGCUCUUGAUCGAAGCCCCGGUAAACGGCGGCCGUAACUAUAACGGUCCUAAGGUAGCGAAAUUCCUUGUCGGGUAAGUUCCGACCUGCACGAAUGGCGUAAUGAUGGCCAGGCUGUCUCCACCCGAGACUCAGUGAAAUUGAACUCGCUGUGAAGAUGCAGUGUACCCGCGGCAAGACGGAAAGACCCCGUGAACCUUUACUAUAGCUUGACACUGAACAUUGAGCCUUGAUGUGUAGGAUAGGUGGGAGGCUUUGAAGUGUGGACGCCAGUCUGCAUGGAGCCGACCUUGAAAUACCACCCUUUAAUGUUUGAUGUUCUAACGUGGACCCGUGAUCCGGGUUGCGGACAGUGUCUGGUGGGUAGUUUGACUGGGGCGGUCUCCUCCUAAAGAGUAACGGAGGAGCACGAAGGUUGGCUAAUCCUGGUCGGACAUCAGGAGGUUAGUGCAAUGGCAUAAGCCAGCUUGACUGCGAGCGUGACGGCGCGAGCAGGUGCGAAAGCAGGUCAUAGUGAUCCGGUGGUUCUGAAUGGAAGGGCCAUCGCUCAACGGAUAAAAGGUACUCCGGGGAUAACAGGCUGAUACCGCCCAAGAGUUCAUAUCGACGGCGGUGUUUGGCACCUCGAUGUCGGCUCAUCACAUCCUGGGGCUGAAGUAGGUCCCAAGGGUAUGGCUGUUCGCCAUUUAAAGUGGUACGCGAGCUGGGUUUAGAACGUCGUGAGACAGUUCGGUCCCUAUCUGCCGUGGGCGCUGGAGAACUGAGGGGGGCUGCUCCUAGUACGAGAGGACCGGAGUGGACGCAUCACUGGUGUUCGGGUUGUCAUGCCAAUGGCACUGCCCGGUAGCUAAAUGCGGAAGAGAUAAGUGCUGAAAGCAUCUAAGCACGAAACUUGCCCCGAGAUGAGUUCUCCCUGAC
Molecule: ribosomal RNA, 2477 nt
Filed under: Escherichia coli
Lineage: Bacteria; Pseudomonadati; Pseudomonadota; Gammaproteobacteria; Enterobacterales; Enterobacteriaceae
Description: partial 23S ribosomal RNA
Rfam family: Bacterial large subunit ribosomal RNA
Source: RNAcentral